GCUGAAUUUAAGCAUAUAACUAGGCCGAGGAAAAGAAACUAACCAGGAUUCCCCCAGUAACGGCGAGUGAAGCGGGAGAAGCCCAUGCUGCCAACCGCUCCGGCGGGUUGUGCCAGGCGUGCCUGGUGAGGUCCCGGGGAGAAAUUCUUUGGAACAAGGUAUCAGAGAGGGUGACAAUCCCGUCUGUGCCUCGGGGUCCUCGCGUGAAGGCCGUCCUAGUGGAGUCGAGUUGCUUGGGAUUGCAGCUCAAAGUCGGUGGUAAAUUCCAUCGAAGGCUAAAUACGGGUGGGAGACCGAUAGCGAACAAGUACUGUGAAGGAAAGAUGAAAAGAACUUUGAAAAGAGAGUUAAAGAGUGCCUGAAAUUGCUGAGAGGGAACCGAAGGUGAUCAGUGGGGGCCGCUGCCAUUUUUCGUGYUCCGACCUCGGAGCACGCCCUGUGGCAGGGGCCCGCUCCGCGCCGUCGCGUCCGGCCGUAAGCUUGGGGCCGGGGGCGCCGGGGCGGAGGAAAUGGUCCUCUUUACCCCGUCUUGAAACACGGACCCAAGG
RNAcentral lists this ribosomal RNA (548 nucleotides) under Pseudochattonella farcimen. RNAcentral describes it as "eukaryotic LSU rRNA". It matches the Rfam family "Eukaryotic large subunit ribosomal RNA", at positions 27 to 671 of the family's 3401-position model. The record is from RNAcentral. Lineage: Eukaryota; Dictyochophyceae; Florenciellales.